Molecule: long non-coding RNA, 354 nt
Filed under: Astyanax mexicanus (Mexican tetra)
Lineage: Eukaryota; Metazoa; Chordata; Actinopteri; Characiformes; Acestrorhamphidae
Description: lncRNA (ENSAMXG00005024050.1)
Source: RNAcentral
UGCAUGUAUUGAAGAUGGUGGAAGAUUUGGAAUCCCUCUCUUAGCACACUGGACACUGAUACACCUCUUUUUGUUUGCUGCCUCCCCCUUAAACAUGAUGUAUGCUUGGGCUGGCUGGCUAUCGAAUCAGAGCUUGAGUUCUUCAAGGACUAGGAAGUUAAUGUCCCAUAAUCGACUAACUGAUUCUCAAAUAAAGGUACAGACUUCAAGACUGGGCAUGAUAAACUACACAACCAGAUUCCUGAGGACAACUGCCAUCAUGCAUGUGAUUCCUAUUAAGUUUGUGCUGCUGUUUGUGCAGAAGCAAACAAAAAACUGUAAAAAAAAACAUGCUGGGCUGAGAGACAUGGACAG